UUAAAUGUGAGAGACAUUUAAUUUAAUUAAUUAAUGUUAAGUUUGGUGAUUAAAACUUAAUAAGAGUGAAAAAAAAAAGGUGUCAAAAGCCAAUUUGGACUUUUCUUCUUAUGAAACCUUUAUUAACCUUUAAAAAAAAAAAAUUUUAAAAAUAAUGAAAUGAUCAUAUAUGGCAAAGGGUGGCCAGCCAUGUGGUGUUUUAGAGUGGUGUGAACCCAAUUCUAUAAAGUUUAACUCCCAUUUUAAUUAAGAAGUCAAGUGGGCAAGUGGGUAGAAAAGCACUCAAGUGUUUUGUGAUAUUUUGAAGAGUUGUGUGAGCCAUUCUAACCCCCAAAUCCGACCACUCUCCCUCUCUCAUUCACUCUCAUCUGAUUUUUUUAAGACUAUUCAAAGUGUUCUCUCAAUAUUCAACCUCAAGAACACCAAGGAAAACUUGGAGGCUAAGUCUUGGUCUAGGAAGUAUUUUCCCUAAGGUAAACCUUCACUAAUCUAGGCUUUUGUAAAGUUUUAAGCUUAGAGUUUCAAAUAGCUAAUUAACUAUGUUGUUGGGGGAAGUUGGUUAGGGUUUUUGAAAGGUUUUGGAGGAGCCAAAGCUAAUAGGAAGGUCCAAACCUUAAGCAAGAACACCAAAGAGGUAAGUGCAAGGGCAAGGCAGAGCAGUGAGCGCUGGAGUCUUCCUUGCAAAUGUACAUGUGGACCGACCUUUUGGGAAGCCUUUUUAUUUUUGGAAAUGUUGUGUAAUUUUCCUAAACUAGGCUCACUCUAAUCUUUAUAAAACAUGUUUGUAAUUAAAUGUUAAGUAUGGCCAUACGACUUUUUAAAAAGUUUUUUUUUCUA
Long non-coding RNA from Humulus lupulus (European hop), 837 nucleotides. RefSeq lists it as uncharacterized. The transcript has 2 exons. The record is from RefSeq and is a predicted model, not a curated record. NCBI's taxonomy places the organism in Eukaryota, Viridiplantae, Streptophyta, Magnoliopsida, Rosales, Cannabaceae.